GACGAACGCUGGCGGCGUGCCUAAUACAUGCAAGUUGAGCGCUGAAGGUUGGUACUUGUACCAACUGGAUGAGCAGCGAACGGGUGAGUAACGCGUGGGGAAUCUGCCUUUGAGCGGGGGACAACAUUUGGAAACGAAUGCUAAUACCGCAUAAAAACUUUAAACACAAGUUUUUAGUUUGAAAGAUGCAAUUGCAUCACUCAAAGAUGAUCUCGCGUUGUAUUAGCUAGUUGGGGAGGUAAAGGCUCACCAAGGCGAGGAUACAUAGCCGACCUGAGAGGGCGAGCGGCCACAUUGGGACUGAGACACGGCACAAACUCCUACGGGAAGCAGCAGGAGGGAAACUUCGGCAAUGGACGAAAGUCUGACCGAGCAACGCCGCGGGAGGGAAGAAGGUUUUCGGAUCGUAAAACUCUGUUGGUAGAGAAGAACGUUGGUGAGGGUGGAAAGCUCAUCAAGUGACGGUAACUACCCAGAAAGCGACGGCUAACUACGUG
Molecule: ribosomal RNA, 497 nt
Filed under: uncultured bacterium
Lineage: Bacteria
Description: partial 16S ribosomal RNA
Rfam family: Bacterial small subunit ribosomal RNA
Source: RNAcentral